GAUGAACGCUGGCGGCGUGCCUAAUACAUGCAAGUCGAGCGAACAGACGAGGAGCUUGCGCCUCUGACGUUAGCGGAGGACGGGUGAGUAACACGUGGAUACCCUACCUAUAAGUCUGAGAUCACUUCGGGACACCGGAGAUAAUACCGGAUAAUAUAUUGAACCGUGUGGUGCAAUAGUGAAUGUCGGCUUUGCUGUCACUUAUAGAUGGUUCUGGGCCGCUUUAGCUAGUUGGUAAGUUAAAGGCUUACGAAGGCAACGAUGCGUAGCCGAGUGGAGAGGCGGGUCGGCCGCCUGGGAGCUGAGACACGGACCAUGCUCCUACGGUAGGCAGCAGUAGGGAACGUUACGCAGUAGGCGGAAGCCUGACGCAACAGCGCCACGUGAGUUGUAACGAUCCUGGGAUCGUAAAACUCUGUUACGGGGGAAGAACAGAUUUGUAAGGAACUGAGCACGUAGUGACGGUAACUGGUCAAAAAGCAACGGCUAACUACGUG
RNAcentral lists this ribosomal RNA (497 nucleotides) under uncultured bacterium. RNAcentral describes it as "partial 16S ribosomal RNA". It matches the Rfam family "Bacterial small subunit ribosomal RNA", at positions 28 to 507 of the family's 1533-position model. The record is from RNAcentral.